GAUCCGGUGACUUAGUGGUUAAAGUGUCCGUCUCGGAUACGAGAAGUCGUGGGUUCGAUCCCGGUCCAGUCA
This is a non-coding RNA of Potamilus streckersoni, 72 nucleotides long. The record is from the annotation of a GenBank genome assembly. NCBI's taxonomy places the organism in Eukaryota, Metazoa, Mollusca, Bivalvia, Unionida, Unionidae.